RNAcentral lists this ribosomal RNA (450 nucleotides) under uncultured bacterium. Its description in RNAcentral is "partial 16S ribosomal RNA". It matches the Rfam family "Bacterial small subunit ribosomal RNA", at positions 338 to 795 of the family's 1533-position model. The record is from RNAcentral.
CCUACGGGGGGCAGCAGUGGGGAAUAUUGCGCAAUGGGCGAAAGCCUGACGCAGCCACGCCGCGUGAGCGAUGAAGGCCUUCGGGUCGUAAAGCUCUGUGGGGAGAGAAGAAUAAAGCCUGUGAAGAGCGGGCCUUGACGGUAUCUCCUUAGCAAGCACCGGCUAACUCCGUGCCAGCAGCCGCGGUAAUACGGAGGGUGCAAACGUUGCUCGGAAUCAGUGGACGUAAAGCGCGAAUAGGGGUGGGAGUGAAAGCCCCGGGCUCAACCCGGGAAGUGCAUUCAAAACUGUUUCGCUUGAAUCUCGGAGGGGGUCAGAGAAUUCCCGGUGUAGAGGUGAAAUUCGUAGAUAUCGGGAGGAAUACCAGUGGCGAAGGCGCUGACCUGGACGAAGAUUGACGCUGAGGUGCGAAAGCGCGGGGAGCAAACAGGAUUAGAUACCCGUGUAGUC